CCUACGGGCGGCAGCAGUGGGGAAUAUUGCGCAAUGGGCGAAAGCCUGACGCAGCGACGCCGCGUGAGGGAUGAAGGUCUUCGGAUCGUAAACCUCUGUUAGCAGGGAAGAACGGUCACUGUGCUAAUCAGCAGUGAAUUGACGGUACCUGCAAAGGAAGCACAGGCUAACUCCGUGUCAGCAGCCGCGGUAAUACGGAGGGUGCGAGCGUUAAUCGGAAUUAAUGGGGGUAAAGAGCUCGUAGGCGGUAUGUCAAGUCAAGGGUGAAAUCCCCGCGCUGAACGUGGGAACUGCCUUUGAAACUGGCAAACUUGAGUGUUGGAGAGGAUAGUGGAAUUCCAGGUGUAGGAGUGAAAUCCGUAGAUAUCUGGAGGAACAUCAGUGGCGAAGGCGACUAUCUGGCACAUAACUGACGCUGAGGAGCGAAAGCGUGGGUAGCAAACAGGAUUAGAUACCCGGGUAGUA
This 465-nucleotide ribosomal RNA is filed under the name uncultured bacterium. Its description in RNAcentral is "partial 16S ribosomal RNA". It matches the Rfam family "Bacterial small subunit ribosomal RNA", at positions 338 to 795 of the family's 1533-position model. The record is from RNAcentral.